GAGGUGUUGCCUCAGUGUCACUGUGUCAAGAGACUCUUCAGGACGGGAUCCACACACACCAACAGCUGCUCUGCGAAUAAGACAAUACUUACAAAACAAUCAAUUGUAGUUUACUUUAAGAGAAAGUUAGAAGUGUUUUAUUUCUUUUUUUGAUAUAAAGGAUAUUUUUUGAUAUAGGAGUGGGAGUCGACCCUGUUGAAGUGGUGAAAGCAGUCACCCGACAGCCAGCCAGACAUGGGCUGCUGCUUCAGCGGGUCUGAGGGGGAAGGAGAGGGGGACACUAAGCACGGGGGGGACAGCGGCUGUAAGACGUGCUGUCUGAAGACCAGGAACUGCGUGAUGAGUGGAGAGUGUGGGCGCGCUCUUCAGAUUGCCAACGUCUGUGCCAUGUGUGGAAUGUGCAUCCGCAUGUUUGUCUAGCUGUGACUCCAUGAGGUCAGACCUGCUCUCAUUCCCAUGGCGACUGUACAGAGAGCUGGGACCAAUAGGACCGGUAUGCCACUCUCCCAUGGGUGGAUCACCUGGGAUCCAGCCAUCUAACAAGACACACACCCUGGACCCGCCCUGUGCCUUACAGCCAAUAGAAUCAGCACCCUGGACCCGCCCUGUGCCUUACAGCCAAUAGAAUCAGCACCCUGGACCCGCCCUGUGCCUUACAGCCAAUAGAAUCAGCACCCUGGACCCGCCCUGUGCCUUACAGCCAAUAGAAUCAGCACCCUGG
Oncorhynchus masou masou (cherry salmon) is the source of this 721-nucleotide long non-coding RNA. RefSeq lists it as uncharacterized. The record is from RefSeq and is a predicted model, not a curated record. The transcript has 3 exons. Lineage: Eukaryota; Metazoa; Chordata; Actinopteri; Salmoniformes; Salmonidae.